CCCUAUGGGGUGCAGCCGGCACACCAUUUAUUCAGGACCGGGAAAUGAAAAAUCAGUCGACGGCAUUGAUAAUGGGCGGCUUUGUAGUCUUUUUCUGGGCCACGGUUGCCACUGCAUUCAAAAUUGCACUAAACGAAAUAAGCAAUCUGCAACUCCUUUUGAUUGCAUCCUCGACAGCGUUGAUUGUAUGCUUUAUUGAACUGAUCAGGACAAAAAAACUUAAUCUGCUCGGGGAAUCCCUUUUGUCCAAAAGCACAAUAUUCAGAGGAGCCUGGCAGGGACUUAUGAACCCUUUCAUAUAUUAUCUCAUCCUGUUUAAGGGGUACUCUCUUCUUCCGGCACAGAUUGCUCAGCCGCUUAACUUUUCCUGGCAAAUUGUUCUCAUGAUUUUGAUGGCAAUUUUUUUAAAACAGAAAUUGCACUUUAAUCAGGUAAUUGGCGGGGGGGC
RNAcentral lists this ribosomal RNA (448 nucleotides) under uncultured prokaryote. RNAcentral's name for it is "partial 16S ribosomal RNA". The record is from RNAcentral.